GCUAGGGUGGGGCCAAGUGUCCACUUACGGUCUCAGGGCUGGGCCCACGUCUGGCUUGAACCUGUGCAGUCCUUGUGUAUGCGGAUGGUCUCUGUCAGUCCCGUGACAGUGCUCCUUAGCCAGCUGUUCCCUCUGCUCUCUCCAUCAUUCUGCUUCCUCUUCUGCUUCCACCCCAACCCCUGAGGUGAGGGGUUGAAGUCAUCGGACUCCUUUAGGACUGCUGCAUGCUGGGAGAUCAGCAGUUCAGGGAGAGCACUAAAUGGAUCUAAGACAUGGUGCCCGCACAGGGGAGGCAUCGGAGAGAGGAUGGUGUGAAGACAGACAGGCUGUAGCAUACUCUCAUCUCACAGUAGCAUCUCAGAAGCAAGUCUGGCUGGGCCCAAAUGGGACAUAUGAAAUCUCACAGAGAAGAGCUUCGGUGACAGCCUUCAGGGCACCAAGGAGUUUUGCUUUAUUUGUUUUUAUUUUUAUUUUUUUUUGGUUUUAUGGGACAGGGUCUGGCUGUAGCUCUGACCGGCCUGACACGCACCAUGCCAGUCAGCCUAGCGUCAAACUCGCAACGAUCCUUCUGCAGCUGCCUCAUAGUGCUGGGAUUAAGGCUUACCACCAUGUCUGUAAAUUUGCCCAGGGACCAGGAAGCCAUGUCCUCAAAAAAAGACAGGCAAAUGGCAGGGAGGAACUGGAAGCAGUAGAGGAAACCAAACUCAGGAUAUACUGAAUGAAAAAGGAGAGAGACGGAAGCAUCUGCUAUUCCUACUGUUAACACUGUGUCCAUCGACAGAGAAAUGAAUUGCCCCAUAACCACCAUGGGAAUCCCAAAGCACAGUGAGGGGUGAGGUGCUGCCCCGCAUCUACUAGGAAGGG
Mus musculus (house mouse) is the source of this 864-nucleotide long non-coding RNA. RefSeq annotates it as predicted gene, 34476. The record is from RefSeq and is a predicted model, not a curated record. The transcript has 3 exons. Lineage: Eukaryota; Metazoa; Chordata; Mammalia; Rodentia; Muridae.